UCCAUCUGUAAGGGUGUACCCUUCUGUAGAAGUACCUUGCCUUGCUGAGAAUUAAAAAGAAAAUUUUAUAUUCGAGUACUAGUUCUUUUGCAGCACCGAAACUUUAUUUAUAACAAUUUGGGGCCUCACCGGUGAUUACAUUAUCCUCCGGGGGCGGUCUCUGGUUCUCUCUUCUGAGGAGACAUGCCCCGCCCCCUUGUGGCGGCCUCGGGGGUGAGAACUCAAGACCCACUCAGUGCGAGGAAUAACCGCAGCUCUCAGCAACGCGCAGGGGAGGGGCUGGGGGGAGGGACUGGCCAGCAACCUAGCUUAAAGGAUCCUCAUAGACUGCAGCGACGAUUCUGUGCACAGACUAAGGAAGGAGAAGCUGCAGGAACCGUUUCCUGAGUUGCAAGUUUAGGCUCUUGGCUGUAAACAGUUCUUCUUUCCUAAUAUUUCAAACAUUUCAUUGAAGGAGAUCAAGAAAAUUAAUUACUGAUCAAGAGCCCACCUAAACUUGAAAACAAGCUUAUGUUACUAUAGAAGAAUGAGAGAUCACCUGGGCAAAUAUAAGACAUUUUAGAUGAUCCAUAAUAGAAUUACUAACCUCCAGUCUGUCUGCCAGCUCCACAAAGACACAAGAGCAAACCCAGAAAUUCUGAGAACCUUCCUUGAAAUCAUUGAACAGCAAAUGAACAAGCUGUUGCCAACCUGGGGUAGAAGACAGCAGAUGGCUUUGUCAAACUUGUAUUUGUCCCUGGGGUAAAGGGCUUCAAUGCUGAGCAUCGAGCAUAAGGAGUUGGAGAAAGAGAUGUGGGUGAUUUACCUCUGCCAUGUAAGUCCUCCAUUAUUUGUCUUGUCUUAGUCCUAUUUCUUCCUUGUACCCAUCAAAGCAUUGGCAUUUCUUAGUCUGCAUCUUCUUGGGGGUUCUGCUGAAUAAGUCCGCUUUUCAUUAGCUGCAACUUUCUUUUCAAGUGUUCUAGGUUUUGUCUUUCUGUUCUUGGAUUAAUGACUCACGCAUUCAUCUCUUUUUGUCUGUCAGAAAUGUGUUUAAACCUGUCUUUAAUUGAUGCCCCCACCCUGCUCUCAGCUGUCAACUUAUUUAUUUACCUUUUUUACCUUUAUUUUACUUGCAUGUUGGGACCUGAAAAAAGUGGAGGUGGGUACGUACCAAUGCUUUAUCUACUAUCUUGCCCUGACGAAUCCACCUCUCACAUGAAACAGUGAGUUACUGAAAGGCAGCAAUUGUACCUUUUUGUCUUUGUAUUUCUAGUGCUUAUCUUGGGGCCU
Molecule: long non-coding RNA, 1269 nt
Filed under: Homo sapiens (human)
Lineage: Eukaryota; Metazoa; Chordata; Mammalia; Primates; Hominidae
Description: HSALNT0249428
Source: RNAcentral